Transfer RNA from Coraliomargarita sp. CAG:312, 91 nucleotides. It matches the Rfam family "tRNA". Rfam says of the family: Transfer RNA (tRNA) molecules are approximately 80 nucleotides in length. The record is from Rfam. NCBI's taxonomy places the organism in Bacteria, Pseudomonadati, Verrucomicrobiota, Opitutia, Puniceicoccales, Coraliomargaritaceae.
GGAGAGGUGGCGGAGUGGCCGAUCGCGCUGGUUUGCUAAACCGGUGUAGGGAUUUAAACCCCUACCGUGAGUUCGAAUCUCAUCCUCUCCG